RNAcentral lists this long non-coding RNA (240 nucleotides) under Manihot esculenta (cassava). RNAcentral describes it as "long non-coding RNA (MESC_LNC005743)". The record is from RNAcentral. Lineage: Eukaryota; Viridiplantae; Streptophyta; Magnoliopsida; Malpighiales; Euphorbiaceae.
CAAUUUGUACCUAAAGUGCAAAUCCAUCAUAUACUGAAAAUCCAACCUCUUUGAGAUUGGAUAUUGGCAGUUGAAAUUGGGAUUGAAUAUCAGUGACUCCGGAGACAGGAUUACCAGAGUUCAAGCACAUUUUUCAGCAUCCCUUAGUGUUUUUCUUCCAAUGCUGUAUAAGGAAGAUGAAACACCAGGCAGCCAAGCAAAUACCAGAGGUGAACCUGUAAAACAAAUAAUUUAAGACAG